Long non-coding RNA from Erinaceus europaeus (western European hedgehog), 495 nucleotides. RefSeq lists it as uncharacterized. NCBI's taxonomy places the organism in Eukaryota, Metazoa, Chordata, Mammalia, Eulipotyphla, Erinaceidae. The transcript has 2 exons. The record is from RefSeq and is a predicted model, not a curated record.
AAGAAAGAAAGAAAGAAAGAAAGAAAGAAAGAAAGAAAGAAAGAAGUAUCUAAAGAAAGAAAUACUUUAAAAAAUGUAAAUGAUUGUCCUUGAAAGCCAUUGGAAAGACACCACAUUGGAAAUGUCUACCUAUGACUGGCUUUUCUUCCAGUGGUGAAAGACUGUGUCUGUAAAGUUGUCGGUGUUUGUCCAGACCCCAUUCUGUAUGGAAAAACACAUACUUUUAAACACUACUAUCACCGUGAGCUCUGCAAGGUGUGUGCCCUUGAAGAGGCAGAUGUGAACUGACAGCGAUGGAGCCAAAGCCAGAUGACAGCACUACCUGUCUGGACUGACUCAAGGGUGUCCACUCACUUGAGCAUGUGUUGUUGCAGUGGGAGUGUCCAUCCAUGACCUCCCUCACCGUUUUGCUGACCUCAUAUAUGGAAUGAAUUAGAUUCAAUGAAUUUGUGAUAGAACUCCCCUGAAUAAUAAAGAUCAAGAGCAUAUCUGCAA